GACGAACGCUGGCGGCGUGCUUAACACAUGCAAGUCGAACGAUGAAGCCAGCUUGCUGGUGGAUUAGUGGCGAACGGGUGAGUAACACGUGGGUAACCUGCCCUCAGCUUUGGGAUAACUCCAAGAAAUUGGGGCUAAUACCGGAUAUGACUGCUCAUCGCAUGGUGGGUGGUGGAAAGUUUUUCGGCUGGGGAUGGGCCCGCGGCCUAUCAGCUUGUUGGUGGGGUGAUGGCCUACCAAGGCGACGACGGGUAGCCGGCCUGAGAGGGUGACCGGCCACACUGGGACUGAGACACGGCCCAGACUCCUACGGGAGGCAGCAGUGGGGAAUAUUGCGCAAUGGGCGGAAGCCUGACGCAGCGACGCCGCGUGGGGGAUGACGGCCUUCGGGUUGUAAACCUCUUUCAGCAGGGACGAAGCCGGAAGGUGACGGUACCUGCAGAAGAAGCACCGGCCAACUACGUGCCAGCAGCCGCCGUAAAAC
This 484-nucleotide ribosomal RNA is filed under the name uncultured bacterium. Its description in RNAcentral is "bacterial SSU rRNA". It matches the Rfam family "Bacterial small subunit ribosomal RNA", at positions 28 to 526 of the family's 1533-position model. The record is from RNAcentral.